GAUAUGCAAGGAGCUUGGCAAUUGUAACUCCUGUCCUCACAACAAGAAAUAAACUGAAAACCAGUAAUUCUUCUUAGAUCCAUCAGAGAAUUAAAGUCACAAAGCCAACUAUUAAAUACAUCCUUAAAAUUGGAGAGACAGAUGAAUAUAGAGAACUGCGGCUUACCUGGAGCAGAAGCUGCUGCCAGAGACAGAAAUCCCCUGAGAGAGCUCUGUGCUGGUAUUGGAGAAGACCAUGAUCAAAUUUGCCCAUUGGGAUAAAAUGACAGUUGCCAAGGAUCAUGCAGAAAACAAUUCUGGAAAGGAGUUUCAGUGAUGUGAUUUUUCUCAAUAAGUAUUACUGAAGUUGAAUUACUAAACCUUCUUAAUAUUUCAAGAAUUGCAUAAGCACCUACAGAAUUCCAUGAAACCUUUGCUGAUACUAGAGGGAGUCUCAGUGAAGGAAUAAAAAUACAUAAAUCCCACAAGAAACAAGAGAACACAGAAGAAAACCAUAGAUAAGAAGAAAAUUUGGCAAGUUUGAAAGAUCUCAUUUAUGUCAAGUCCAAAUACCAGAUGGAGGAGUAGUGACUGACUGCAGAGUGGAGUAAGCCCAGCCCACAUGCCUACAGCAGAAAGUUCAAUGAUGAGAGAAUAAAAGGCCAACUUAUGAACAAAGGAAAAUAAAGGGGCCAAACUGGUGAAUUAAAGGGGAAUGCAACGAAGACAAUCAUACCUGCAUCCUUUGGAUCUCAGGGUAGUGCUAAUCUCUGCCAUUCCUUUGGGAUAAAAAUUUUUUUUAAAUCUUGGUGUAAGAAGAAAGGGGUGAAGUUUCAGGGGUUUCAACUUAAUCUUCUCCACUACAGGGCUUCUUACUGUAUACAUCAAGAAAUGAAUGCGAGGUUUCCACCAAAUGCUAAAUAUGUCUCUUCCAAUUACCAAGCUUGGAAGCAGGAAAAUGAGCACAGUGUGGGACUGUGACCCAUUGGAUCCACUGUGAGGUGGAUCUGGGCCAAGAUUCCAUUUGCUGUCUCAGCCACAAAUGUGCCCCUACUCUAACAGGGGUGCCACAUUGGUGCUCUGAGCCCCCUGGGUUUCAGCAUCAAUCCAAAAUGUGUAUCUAAUAACUCUAGAAAGAUCUGGGUAAAUGGUCAAAGAUUUUGGGGGGGAAGAUUGGAGAAAUAACUGUAUACACUUGCCAUGGUCUUGCAGCAUUCUUCCUCAUAGGGACCUGGUCUGUCCUUCAGUCAAUGGGUUCUAACCAGAGAGCCAAAAACUGAUUAGGAGAUUAUGACUUUCUACAGAAGUGGCUGACUUCAGCCUUCUACCAAACCAUUCUUGAUCUAUUUUGAUUAUAUAUAAUAAACAGUACCCUUUUUGACUGUCCAUUUAUUUUGUCCCUAGGAACACCAUGUUCUAGCCAUCUCCUUUGAUAUCUAUAGGUUAGGCCUCUCUGGCUGCCAUUCUGAGCCUGCUGCCCAUUAUGGUUAUUACACCCACCUUGCUUCUGACAGUUAAGUGCUGCCACGUGACUUGUUUUUCCAGACUCCUAUCAUCCUGGUUGUUAGUAGGAACCCAAUUCUUUAACUGCAUGCCCUACCACCAGAACUGGCUUACAAAAGACAGCUGCUGCUGAGGUUUUCAAUGAUGC
Macaca mulatta (Rhesus monkey) is the source of this 1630-nucleotide non-coding RNA. Lineage: Eukaryota; Metazoa; Chordata; Mammalia; Primates; Cercopithecidae. The record is from RefSeq and is a predicted model, not a curated record.